GAGGGUAUAGGUCAGUGGUAAAGUGUGUGCUUAGCAUGCAUGAGGUCCUGGGUUCAAUCCCUGGUACCUCUA
Camelus ferus (Wild Bactrian camel) is the source of this 72-nucleotide transfer RNA. It matches the Rfam family "tRNA". From Rfam's summary of the family: Transfer RNA (tRNA) molecules are approximately 80 nucleotides in length. Their secondary structure includes four short double-helical elements and three loops (D, anti-codon, and T loops). Lineage: Eukaryota; Metazoa; Chordata; Mammalia; Artiodactyla; Camelidae. The record is from Rfam.